AUUGAACGCUGGCGGCAGGCCUAACACAUGCAAGUCGAGCGAGCGGCGGACGGGUGAGUAAUGUAUGGGGACUGCCCGAUAGAGGGGGAUAACUACUGGAAACGGUAGCUAAUACCGCAUACUAUCGGAUAACCCAUAUGGGAGUAGCUAGUAGGUGAGGGACGGGCGCACCUAGGCGACGAUCCCCAGCUGGUCAGAGAGGAUGAUCAGCCACACUGGGACUGAGACGCGGCCCAGACUCCUCCGGAGGCAGCAGUGGGGAAUAUUGCACAAUGGGAGCAGUCCGGAUGCAGCCAUGCCGCGUGUAUUGAGAAGGCCCUAGGGUUGUAAAGUACUUUCAGUCGGUAGGCGUUACCGACAGAAGAAGCACCGGCUAACGCCGUGCCAGCAGCCGCGGUAAUAC
RNAcentral lists this ribosomal RNA (403 nucleotides) under uncultured bacterium. RNAcentral's name for it is "partial 16S ribosomal RNA". It matches the Rfam family "Bacterial small subunit ribosomal RNA", at positions 29 to 526 of the family's 1533-position model. The record is from RNAcentral.